UGAUCUGUACUUCCACACCUCCUUGAUUUGGAACAUCCCCACCUUGGAAAGAUCUUUCGUCUUGCUUGUCAUCAAUUUCUCUUAUCUUAGCUCUAUGUAGUUCUAAACUACUUUGAAGAAAUAUGUUUUCCUCAGAUAGCUGUUCAAGAUGCAUUCUUACUUCUUUUAGCUCAACCUCUAACUGUCUGCGUUCCCCAUGAUCCUUAGAUAUCCUCUCAUGAAGAACAAGAAGCUCAGAUGUAAGUCUCUCCAUUUCACGAUCAGAAUACUCCUUGUCCUCUUCAAGUUUCUUUCUGUCCUUCGUGACCACAACAAGGUCUCUCCUUAAGUUGGCAUUUUCCACCUGUAGGGCUUCCACCAAGCCUUUACAAUUAGACAAAUCCAUGGAUAGCUUCUCAUUCACAUUAGCAAGACACUCCUUGUCCUCUUCAAGCUUCUUGUUCUUCUCUGUCACUGAAGCAAGAGUUCCACUUAAGUU
This 478-nucleotide unclassified non-coding RNA is filed under the name Hevea brasiliensis (rubber tree). Lineage: Eukaryota; Viridiplantae; Streptophyta; Magnoliopsida; Malpighiales; Euphorbiaceae. The record is from RNAcentral.